GCUGCCCCUAGAGGCAUUGCAGGAAUGGCUGCUCUGUCACAUGUGCAUCAAUACGUGGCAGAGAGGAGAGACACUAUGUCUAACCUUAGUGUUAUGACCUGUGAACUUCUGAAUGAUUUGGAGCCUAACAUU
Grammomys surdaster is the source of this 132-nucleotide small nucleolar RNA. RefSeq annotates it as small nucleolar RNA SNORA17. Lineage: Eukaryota; Metazoa; Chordata; Mammalia; Rodentia; Muridae. The transcript has a single exon. The record is from RefSeq and is a predicted model, not a curated record.